GCGGACGUGGCGGAAUUGGUAGACGCACCAGAUUUAGGUUCUGGCGCCGAGAGGCGUCCGGGUUCGAGUCCCGGCGUCCGCACCA
This 85-nucleotide transfer RNA is filed under the name Alphaproteobacteria bacterium. Its description in RNAcentral is "tRNA-Leu". It matches the Rfam family "tRNA". From Rfam's summary of the family: Transfer RNA (tRNA) molecules are approximately 80 nucleotides in length. Their secondary structure includes four short double-helical elements and three loops (D, anti-codon, and T loops). The record is from RNAcentral. Lineage: Bacteria; Pseudomonadati; Pseudomonadota; Alphaproteobacteria.